UACGUAGGAGGCAAGCGUUGUCCGGAUUUAUUGGGCGUAAAGCGUGCGCAGGUGGUGCAGGAAGUGAUGUGUGAAAGCUCUUGGCUUAACUGAGAGAGGCCAUGUCAAACUCCUGGACUUGAGGGUCGGAGAAGCAGACGGAAUUCCGGGUGGAGUAGUAAUAUGCGUAGAGAUCCGGAGGAACACCAGUGGCGUAAGCGGUCUGCUAGACGAUGCCUGACGCUGAGGCACGAAAGCGUGGGGAGCGAACCGG
This 253-nucleotide ribosomal RNA is filed under the name uncultured bacterium. Its description in RNAcentral is "partial 16S ribosomal RNA". It matches the Rfam family "Bacterial small subunit ribosomal RNA", at positions 524 to 776 of the family's 1533-position model. The record is from RNAcentral.